GUGAAUCAUCGAAUUUUUGAACGCAAAUUGCACUUUCUGGUAUUCCGGAAAGUAUGCCUGUUUGAGGGUAAGUAAAAUAAAAAUCGGUGUUGUUUCUGCUUUUCGUGGGGAGGGGAGGGAAUGAAGUUGUCUUACUUUGGGUUAAGUGAGUUAAAAUUUUGCAUGAUUUUCGAAAGUAUUUAAAUUUAUUAGGUACAUUUGAGAUAUGGAAUACUUAAUUAGCUUCGGUAUUCUUCAUGAUUGGAACCU
This 249-nucleotide unclassified non-coding RNA is filed under the name Glomus sp. RNAcentral describes it as "partial contains 5.8S ribosomal RNA and internal transcribed spacer 2". The stretch from base 1 to 71 matches the Rfam family "5.8S ribosomal RNA", at positions 84 to 154 of the family's 154-position model. The record is from RNAcentral. Lineage: Eukaryota; Fungi; Glomeromycota; Glomeromycetes; Glomerales; Glomeraceae.